Molecule: ribosomal RNA, 750 nt
Filed under: uncultured Ureaplasma sp.
Lineage: Bacteria; Bacillati; Mycoplasmatota; Mycoplasmoidales; Mycoplasmoidaceae
Description: bacterial SSU rRNA
Rfam family: Bacterial small subunit ribosomal RNA
Source: RNAcentral
CAUUGGAAACUGUUAACCUAGAGUUUGGUAGAGAGUUCUGGAACUCCAUGUGGAGCGGUGGAAUGCGUAGAUAUAUGGAAGAACACCAGUUGCGAAGGCGAGAACUUGGGCCACAACUGACGCUUAGGCUCGAAAGUGUGGGGAGCAAAUAGGAUUAGAUACCCUAGUAGUCCACACCGUAAACGAUGGGUGUUAAACGUCGGGAUUUAAUCUCGGUGUUGUAGUUAACACAUUAAACACCCUGCCUGGGUAGUACAUUCGCAAGAAUGAAACUCAAACGGAAUUGACGGGGACCCGCACAAGUGGUGGAGCAUGUUGUUUAAUUCGACGAUACACGUAGAACCUUACCUAGACUUGACAUCCUUGGCGAAGUUAUAGAAAUAUAAUGGAGGUUAACCGAGAGACAGGUGGUGCAUGGUUGUCGUCAGCUCGUGUCGUGAGAUGUUGGGUUAAGUCCCGCAACGAGCGCAACCCUUAUCGUUAGUUAUUUUGUCUAACGAGACUGCCAACGCAAGUUGGAGGAAGGUGGGGAUGACGUCAAAUCAUCAUGCCCCUUAUGUCUAGGGCCACAAACGUGCUACAAUGGUCGGUACAAACAGUCGCUAAUUCGUAAGAUAGAGCUAAUCUGUAAAGCCGAUCUCAGUUCGGAUAGAGGGCUGAAAUUCGCCCUCUUGAAGUUGGAAUCACUAGUAAUCGCGAAUCAGCCAUGUCGCGGUGAAUACGUUCUCGGGUCUUGUACACACCGCCCGU